UCUAGGGAGAAAAACUUGAGUGAACUGAGAAGACAGACAGCCCGUGACCAAAUUCUGAGAACUCCAACCAUUCACUGGUUGAGUGGAAGAGAACAAGCUCAGAAAAUAAAUGGAGAAAACAUGGUAGGAGGAGCAGAAGAAAAAUGAGGAGAAUGCUGUCUCAUGGAAGACAAGGGAAUUGGUGCACAUGGUAUGGACCCCAGCAAGUCCCCCUCUGCAGGUCAGGUGGGGAUCCAGGGAAGAUGCUGGAGACCAUGUUACAGCUCCAAUCCAAAGGGACUCUGAAGGGAGUUACUAUCCCCACCGGAUAACAGUUUGACAGACUAUCAAGAGACAGGUUACCUAACGAAGAGACAGGACCAUGAUCCAAAUAAGGACAGUAAGACUGAAGCUGAAUCCGGAACAAAGAGACAGAGAGACAGAAAGCAGCAGGUGCUUGCUAGCAAAGCUUGGAGAAGCCUGAACAAGCUGGUCACCCUCACUGUCAAAGACUUUCAUUUCCACGGAAGGGAAACUGAUGACCUGGGACCAUUGGAAGAACUAGGAAACAAACAUGGGAGCUUCGGGGAAGACAGACCAGCCAAAAUUCUCUGAAGGAAGAUGUAAGUGAGGGAAGUCUCUGAGCUGGAUGACUUCACCACUGAAGUGCAAGUGAGAGAACACUGGAGCAUGGUGGAUUGUCAAGUGCCAAGCUGGAAUAGUAAACGUGGUGGUGGGGAGUGGAUCCGGUAAUAAUGGAGAUGGAUGAAGCAGUUCUAAGGACUGCAAAGCUGCGCAGCGGGAACCAACUCCCUACUGCAGUUAUCAUUCGCCUUUAAAGUCUCCGUGUCAAGACACACAGAAAGUGUCUACACCAAAUGGACAAACGUUCCAGGGGGUUUCCUUCCCAACUGCUUAUUAAGAAAUCCAUCCUCUUCACAUCAGUGGGACUUCAUUCUACUCAAAUUCCAUCAAUUCCCAAUAGCUCCAACACGAGGACAAACCCUAGGAGAUGAGGGUGCCAUCUCAAGUCUCUUAUUUUGGUUAUUUAACUGAAUAAGAAAAUGUGUAUAACUGCAGCAAAUUAACUGACCUAGUCAAACAUCCCUGAAUAUGAUAUAAAAUUCACAGACUGUGUUUACCCGUGAAUCCGGCUGAAUUCCAGCUCUGCGUUUCUCAUCCGAGAAGGCACAUUGAUGGCAAUGCAGAGGUGAGGAGGCACUGGUGGAUCUGAAGCGUCUUCAAUCCCACUUCACAGACAGCACGGCAUGGUAUGUUGGCAAGAACAAGGGUUUGGAGACAGGUGGACCAAGUCUUUCUUUAGCAUCCUUGGCCAGCUAUCUAAGCCCUCUGAGCUGAAUGCCCUCACCUAGAAGACAGGAAUA
Molecule: long non-coding RNA, 1364 nt
Filed under: Homo sapiens (human)
Lineage: Eukaryota; Metazoa; Chordata; Mammalia; Primates; Hominidae
Description: HSALNT0165672
Source: RNAcentral